GAACUGAAGAGUUUGAUCAUGGCUCAGAUUGAACGCUGGCGGCAGGCCUAACACAUGCAAGUCGAGCGGAUGAAGGGAGCUUGCUCCUGGAUUCAGCGGCGGACGGGUGAGUAAUGCCUAGGAAUCUGCCUGGUAGUGGGGGAUAACGUCCGGAAACGGGCGCUAAUACCGCAUACGUCCUGAGGGAGAAAGUGGGGGAUCUUCGGACCUCACGCUAUCAGAUGAGCCUAGGUCGGAUUAGCUAGUUGGUGGGGUAAAGGCCUACCAAGGCGACGAUCCG
This 280-nucleotide ribosomal RNA is filed under the name Pseudomonas aeruginosa. RNAcentral describes it as "partial 16S ribosomal RNA". It matches the Rfam family "Bacterial small subunit ribosomal RNA", at positions 1 to 283 of the family's 1533-position model. Lineage: Bacteria; Pseudomonadati; Pseudomonadota; Gammaproteobacteria; Pseudomonadales; Pseudomonadaceae. The record is from RNAcentral.